Molecule: ribosomal RNA, 460 nt
Filed under: uncultured bacterium
Lineage: Bacteria
Description: partial 16S ribosomal RNA
Rfam family: Bacterial small subunit ribosomal RNA
Source: RNAcentral
CCUACGGGAGGCAGCAGUGAGGAAUAUUGGUCAAUGGCCGUAAGGCUGAACCAGCCAAGUAGCGUGAGGGAAGACUGCCCUAUGGGUUGUAAACCUCUUUUAUGCGGGGAUAAAGGUGUCCACGUGUGGCUGUUUGCAGGUACCGCAUGAAUAAGGACCGGCUAAUUCCUUGCCCGCAGCCGCUGUAAUGCGGAAGGUCCGGGCGUUAUCCGGAUUUAUGGGGUUUAAAGGGAGUGUAGGACGGUCUGUAAGCUUGCCGUGAAAUUUUGUGGCGAAACCAUGGGAGUGCGGCGAGAACUGGAGACCUUGAGUGCGCGGAAGGUAGGCGGAAUGCGUGGUGUAGCGGUGAAAUGCUUAGAUAUCACGAAGAACCCCGAUUGCGAAGGCAGCCUGCCGAAGCGUUACUGACGCUGAAGCUCGAAAGCGUGGGUAUCGAACAGGAUUAGAUACCCGGGUAGUC